Molecule: ribosomal RNA, 180 nt
Filed under: uncultured bacterium
Lineage: Bacteria
Description: partial 16S ribosomal RNA
Rfam family: Bacterial small subunit ribosomal RNA
Source: RNAcentral
ACUCCUACGGGAGGCAGCAGUGGGGAAUAUUGCACAAUGGGCGAAAGCCUGAUGCAGCAACGCCGCGUGAGGGACGAAGGCCUUCGGGUUGUAAACCUCUUUUAGUAGGGAAGAAGCGAAAGUGACGGUACCUACAGAAAAAGCACCGGCUAACUACGUGCCAGCAGCCGCGGUAAUACA